CGCAAAUUGCAGGGGAACCCGCGCGUCGGCGCAUAUUGCAACGCGCACGCGGGUUGAGAAAGGCAUACAGCCUGACCCUUAGAACCUGAUGGUUAAUACCAGCGUAGGGAGGCAACACCAUGGCAAGC
RNAcentral lists this non-coding RNA (128 nucleotides) under Bifidobacterium angulatum. Its description in RNAcentral is "TPP sequence". It matches the Rfam family "TPP riboswitch aptamer (THI element)". From Rfam's summary of the family: Vitamin B(1) in its active form thiamin pyrophosphate (TPP) is an essential coenzyme that is synthesised by coupling of pyrimidine and thiazole moieties in bacteria. The previously detected thiamin-regulatory element, thi box was extended, resulting in a new, highly conserved RNA secondary structure, the THI element, which is widely distributed in eubacteria and also occurs in some archaea. The record is from RNAcentral. Lineage: Bacteria; Bacillati; Actinomycetota; Actinomycetes; Bifidobacteriales; Bifidobacteriaceae.